AAAAAAAAAAAAAAAGAAAAAAGAGAGGUGCAAAAAUAUGGAGAAUGUGGUCCUCUUUUAGUUCACAACAUAAUCUCAAAGUGACUAUUUAUAUUAUUCCUCUUUCACUAGCAAGAUAGCUAAGUAUGUUGUUCUUUAUAAAAAGCCUUCAAUCAAAGCUAUCUUCCAUUAUUUAUAUGGAGUAGUUCGCCACUCUCACUACAAAACUGACCAUUCUUAUUUUUGCAACUACAAAUUAAAUGGAAGGAUUUAACAAUGAUGAUGACCAUUUUAUGGGAGGUUCUUUACCUAACGUUGAUGUCUAUUGUCAAGCAGACAAUUGCACGUCCGACUUGACUGAUGCGAAGCGCUACCACCGCCGCCACAAGGUUUGCGAGUUCCACGCCAAGGCGCCCGUGGUCAUUGUUAACUCGAAACACCAACGAUUUUGUCAGCAAUGUAGCAAGUUCCAUGACGUAUCGGAGUUCGACGACACGAAAAGGAGCUGCCGAAGGAGGUUGGCCGGACACAACGAAAGGAGAAGGAAGAACUCCUAUGAUGUUUCUGCGGAAUCAUCGUCUGCAGACUGAGGCCACUACACAGAGAUCCAGCUAGCGAGAGAGCGGCCGCGUAGGCGGCUAGCAGAUCAUUAGGGGAUAAUUCUGAUCAUUAUAGAUAAAACCAUAGAUUAUUAGGCCUUCAAUCAAUGGUUUUAUCUCUAAUAUAGUGAUUCAUUAUCGUUCUUUUUAAUGCUCUCUAUCUUCUGUCAAACCCCAUUUCCACUGUGUUCUUUGUCCUAUCUAGCUAAUAAAGAUUCAGUGUUAUUCAGCCUUUUUUAAUUA
Molecule: long non-coding RNA, 821 nt
Organism: Spinacia oleracea (spinach)
Lineage: Eukaryota; Viridiplantae; Streptophyta; Magnoliopsida; Caryophyllales; Amaranthaceae
Exons: 2
Source: RefSeq, a predicted model, not a curated record